AAAAAAAAAAACCCCAAAAAACAAACAAACUCUUGAACACUGUGUAUCCAGUACAAGAUGUCUGACAAGCAGAAAGCCAGCAUCUAGAGGAGACAUCUAACUGCUACAACGGAUUUUAGUGAGCAGUUGGUGAUAAACGCAGUUAGCCCCUCCUUGGUUUAAAGCAAUUAAUUCAGGCACCCUGACAUCAACUCUCCAAUCCUCUGACAGCUUGGAGCCCAAAUCAAAAUGCUAGUUCUCCUGGGAACAGGAGAAGAUAGCUGGCUCUUUUCUGGACUGUUUGCUCACUGGGCCUGAGAGCAAUCUUCCUUGCUGAAUGAAAUGCAAGGACACAAACAAUGUGGCGGCGAGAGAAUGGAAGACGGGGAAUGAACAGUUUGGACUAUUUGCUCAGCAGAAGGGCAGUCACAAUGGCUGGCCCAUGGCUUUCCCAUGCAUCAAGCCUCUUAGUCUUAGCACUCCUUUGUUGCUGGGUUUCGUUCAGAUAAGAGCCCAGCUGCCCCAUGCGUUUAAUUCCCAUUGUACACCAUACUGUAUAGCCAUUUAUCUGCUUUUAGGUGGCUUUUUGUCAUUUUGUUAUUCCAUAAGUGUGCAUCAUAUCACCCAUGUAUCUCCAGGGUCUGGCUUCAGCUUUGCAUGUGCAGUCGCUUAGGGAGGAUGGACCAAGAAAACAAACAAGGUAUGGAUCAAUUUGCAAAAGUUCAUCAGUUGCAGCCCUAACCCUUCAAACCUUGAUGGAAGUGCUUGCUUGCCAAUCAUCCUCACAUCACCUUCACCUGCAGUCAUGUCUGACCUGGCCGCAUAUGAGAGAUAACAUUCGUGUCUGCAGAGCUGAGAGAGGGGACAAAAGGAAGUUUGACGUUAAUGAUUAACGGCGCUAAAAGCCCCUGCUUUUGUAUUCCCAUGGUACCGAGGCUAUCUGGUGGCCAUGUGACCUGCGUGGAGGAGAUUGGGGGUUAGCGGUAGAGCAAACACAGGUGCUGUGUUUGGGUUGGAGUCGCCUGCGCUGUCAGGGACAACCACAAACACACGCAGCUAUGCCAAGCUCCACAAACAGCCGCCUACGCCAACAGAUCAAGUCCAAUGUGCUCCUCCCCGUCUUCCUAUAUGUUCCACAUUGGAAAAAGUACCUGAUUUAUGUCUAGUGCAUUCUAGCUGGGGCAUUCUUAAGGAUUGUCCUUGAUGUAUAGUCUAAAUAAAAACACAAUUGCCUUUUACUUUUAUAAUAAUAAAAAAAACUAUUAAUACAUGCUUUCAUUUAUGUACCUGUAUAUUCCACUGUGCUGAAUGAUCAUGUUCUCAUGCCACAUGCAACUGCUAAUCAAUUUUGCUGAGGUUGCCUCACUGUAAUUAAUGAGCUGUUCUCAAUCAUUCUCAAUCAUGCUAAACACAAUGUU
This is a long non-coding RNA of Ictalurus punctatus (channel catfish), 1397 nucleotides long. The record is from Ensembl. Lineage: Eukaryota; Metazoa; Chordata; Actinopteri; Siluriformes; Ictaluridae.